GAAGAAGUACUGGGGUGAGGUGAUUAGGCAGGACAUGGAACAGUUACAGCUUACCGAGGACAUGACCCUAGAUAGGAAGGUCUGGAGGACGCGAAUUACGGCAGAGGACUAGGGCCAGUUUGGGUCGCUAGCGUAGGAAAUUACUUGGUGGGGGGUUUAUUCAUGUUAUGAUUCCGUGUUCCGUGUUCCAUGUUUUAUUACGAAUCUGUGUGCUUUCCUCUAUUUUAUAUUACUUAUGGGUGCCGUAUUUAUGUUAUGUAAUCUUCUUCUGUGCUUUACUAUGUGUUUGUGUGGUAUCUCGUGCCUUG
This 308-nucleotide long non-coding RNA is filed under the name Capsicum annuum. RNAcentral's name for it is "long non-coding RNA (CANN_LNC019179)". Lineage: Eukaryota; Viridiplantae; Streptophyta; Magnoliopsida; Solanales; Solanaceae. The record is from RNAcentral.